GUAAGAAAUUCCGAUUUCUUGCUGCAAUUAAAUGGCAUCAAUAGUAUCAAAAUGGUUUUCAAAAUUUUCUAAAAGAUUGGGAGUGAUUUCGAAAAUUUAGGGCUUUUUGGGGGAAAAUGGAAAAGAAGUGUUUCUUGUUAAAUUCUUGUUCUUGCAUGCAUCAUCUAUGUUGGUAGUGGGUAGAUACAACUUUUAUUGGCC
Molecule: long non-coding RNA, 201 nt
Filed under: Erythranthe guttata (spotted monkey flower)
Lineage: Eukaryota; Viridiplantae; Streptophyta; Magnoliopsida; Lamiales; Phrymaceae
Description: long non-coding RNA (EGUT_LNC002856)
Source: RNAcentral